This 467-nucleotide ribosomal RNA is filed under the name uncultured bacterium. RNAcentral's name for it is "partial 16S ribosomal RNA". It matches the Rfam family "Bacterial small subunit ribosomal RNA", at positions 28 to 506 of the family's 1533-position model. The record is from RNAcentral.
GACGAACGCUGGCGGCGUGCUUAACACAUGCAAGUCGAACGGAAAGGCCCUGCUUUUGUGGGGUGCUCGAGUGGCGAACGGGUGAGUAACACGUGAGUAACCUGCCCUUGACUUUGGGAUAACUUCAGGAAACUGGGGCUAAUACCGGAUAGGAGCUCCUGCUGCAUGGUGGGGGUUGGAAAGUUUCGGCGGUUGGGGAUGGACUCGCGGCUUAUCAGCUUGUUGGUGGGGUAGUGGCUUACCAAGGCUUUGACGGGUAGCCGGCCUGGGAGGGUGACCGGCCACAUUGGGACUGGGAUACGGCCCAGACUCCUACGGGGGGCAGGAGGGGGGAAUAUUGCACAAUGGGCGGAAGCCUGAUGCAGCAACGCCGCGUGCGGGAUGACGGCCUUCGGGUUGUAAACCGCUUUCGCCUGUGACGAAGCGUGAGUGACGGUAAUGGGUAAAGAAGCACCGGCUAACUACGU